UCGAGGAUCUUCGGCAAUGGGCGAAAGCCUGACCGAGCGACGCCGCGUGGAUGAUGAAGGCCUUCGGGUUGUAAAAUCCUGUCGAGGGGGAUCAAGGGCAACUUGAGUGAUCCCUGGAGGAAGCACGGGCUAAGUUCGUGCCAGCAGCCGCGGUAAGACGAACCGUGCAAACGUUAUUCGGAAUCACUGGGCAUAAAGGGCGCGUAGGCGGCUCCAAAAGUCAGGGGUGAAAUCCGGCAGCUUAACUGUCGCAGUGCCUUUGAUACUGUGGAGCUAGAGGGAGGUAGGGGUCUGUGGAACUUCCGGUGGAGCGGUGAAAUGCGUUGAUAUCGGAAGGAACGCCGGUGGCGAAAGCGACGGACUGGAUCUCUUCUGACGCUGAGGCGCGAAAGCCAGGGGAGCAAACGG
This 408-nucleotide ribosomal RNA is filed under the name uncultured bacterium. Its description in RNAcentral is "bacterial SSU rRNA". It matches the Rfam family "Bacterial small subunit ribosomal RNA", at positions 355 to 775 of the family's 1533-position model. The record is from RNAcentral.